UCGUGAUAUUUUUGUCAAGCUGGGCCUUCUAUCUACGGCUGGGUUUGGCUGUCAAGCAGAUGUUCAAACUUAGACUACCCCCUGUCGAGUCGUGACCCAUUAAACCUCACGAUGAGGUUUGGAUAAAAUUCAGCUCAGCAGAAAUGCCGUGUUCUCGUUGCCCCUGUAAUUUUCAAACUACUGGUAACGCUUACAGCUGAUGUGUUAUCGAAUUCCGCUGAGCAGUUCAGCUGUUGUUCCUCAAUAAAACUGAUCGAACGUGGCGGUAAGCGUACAAUUUUCUGGAGAUCAGAUAAACAAGCGGUAAAUACGUACACCUGAGGAUGCUCUGUUACAUCUACUAUUGAGCCUUCAUAAUAGUUCGAAUGCACACAACUUUGGCCUUUCCUUUGUGCGCCUAACGUGUGUAGCGCCUUAAUACCGAUACAGGCAAGUAUCUACAUUGCGAUGUAAAAUUUCAUGUAUGUAGUACGCUAGAAUUUAUUUCAUUGAUUUUGUUUUGUUACGAGUAGUUUCCAUAUCGAGAAAAAAGACGUUAGAUAGAUUAUCCCAUUGCAAACUGUUGCAAUAUGCACACAGAAGUUGUUUGUUUAAGUCUCUCGUCUGUAUAUUCUCGAAGUUACACUGGAGACGUUUUGGUUAUGUUUAACGAUAACCAGUACUGUUUGGCAGAAAUGCCGAAAACAACAAGAUAGGUGCCUUUCCCUGUUGCGGAAGCUUCUAGCGUAGAGGUAGGAGUAGCUUGAUCGUAUUGCGCCUGUCAACGGGAAUUGUGCUUAUGGGCCGGCUGUCUGUUAGGACAAAACGUUAACAUUUUUUGACGCGGUAUAGCUAGCUUGUCGUGCUUCCUUCAAGGCCAUUAUCGCUUCUGCUACCGGAAUCAGAGAUAGGAAUGAGAACAGGUAUUCUCAAGAAAUCUGUAUGCGCUCUUACACAAAGGGCAGGCGGUGAGACGGGCGUCUGUACGCGUAUGCGUAUUUGUGUUGUUGAAUUCAUUCACUUAGGCCAAAAGCUAUCAUUCCUGCUCGAUAUGGAUCAAAAACUAACACAGCACUCUUCGCACUCGGACGUUUUCCUUCCGAGGAAAACUGCAAAACGCUUUGGAUUAGAUUUAAUCAAGCGACUAUGGACGUUUCUAUCUCUCCCCCUUGCUUACACAGCUUGCGAAUAAGUUAACACAACCUGUAAUUGCACGCUGCGUUAUCUAGUUGACCGUGUACCGUUAUCUUGUAUACCUUUGCUGUCAUUAUCUUCAAGCUCGUUUUUUAGAGCGGGGGUGCGAGAUGCAUACAUUUUCUCAGGCAUGCAGAUACCUAGUUGGGUCGGCUGUCACGCCUAACAUGGGGGGUGCACGAUUUUCUGUUUGAGGCGGCGGCAAGAGUAACGCUUGUGCUGCCGACUGACCGCGGCGGAAAGGGGGAAAAUAAAAGAGGCGGUAGGGGCCCAAGCAUACGAAGAACAAAAGCGACAGAGCGGACAGGACGAAGCGUUGAGCGGCGGUAGUUAAAUGUGUGGCUAUGUACAAACAUAUAUGACAGUGUGUGUGCUACGAUCUGAGCAAUUCAUGCAGUGGUAGCAGGCGAUAUACUUUAGCUGGCCGCGCGUCUAGCGAGACAAGGAGAUAGUGCGCGCACAGCGUUUAUCUACGUCGCUUCUGUUAGAGCUAUCGGUGCUUAUAGGGCGAUUAGUGGCCUCCUGCAGUGGUGAUCGCGUUUGUAACGUAUGCCGUAGGUUACUUUAUCUAGGACGACGGGACAGCUUCAUAAUCGGUUCAAGAUCACGUGAAAAACUAUACUAAAGCGUGGACUAAAAGUGGACAUAGAAAUGAUCUUAAGAGAAUUUUAGUGCUUUGCUCAUCGUGACGUCGUUGUUACCUUGCCGUUAAGAGCAAAAUUUAUCUGGGACCAACAAACAAACAAACAAAAAUAUUCAACUCUUGUAAAUUUUUCGAACGCGUAUCGCUAUUAUAUGGUGAAAGUGUACUGGCCGUCCUAUGCUAUCGGCCAACAAGGAAGUCCUUCAGUAUGAGAUUUACGCUGUCCCAAAUCCUACAAACUUCAACGAUUGUUCUCCUGCUGGUGCCUGUGAUGUUGGCCUGCGUUGAUGCUUGCCAAUCCUAUUAUCAAGCUUGUGGACGUCGAAGGCAAUGCUGCUCCGGACUAAACUGUUCCCGAGACCCCGGAGCACGACCAGAUGAAACGUACUGCAAGCAAACAUUGACGCUUGCAAUACAAAUACCGUGAAAAGGAGCUUCUUUUCUGCGGCGACGUCUGACUACUGACCUUUGUCAAGGCAUACGCAUUUUUGUGUUUGGAAGGCACAAACAGUCACAAUCGACGCAAUACGAUAAGUGACGUUCAGUAUGAACCAUAUACUUGGUGGACCCGAGACGGAAAUCAUCGCAGUUCGCUAGGGUCUGUCGCUCGAAAAAUCGCACCUCUUCCAACAGCACUCUCUCAUGCUUACCCGAAUCAGCCACAAGAGCAAUAUUAUUACUAGGAUAUUCUAGUGUUUUCCACUACGAAUAGAACGCAUCUAAAGAAAAUAUAUCUUCUAAUAAACUUAU
Non-coding RNA from Varroa destructor (honeybee mite), 2566 nucleotides. NCBI's taxonomy places the organism in Eukaryota, Metazoa, Arthropoda, Arachnida, Mesostigmata, Varroidae. The record is from RefSeq and is a predicted model, not a curated record.